GUGCAUUUGGGCGGCACAUACACUAAAAUUGGAAUGAAACAGAGAUUAGCAUGGCCUCUGCAUAGGGAUAACACAAAACUUCUUGAAGCGUUCCAUAUUUUU
RNAcentral lists this small nuclear RNA (102 nucleotides) under Sciurus vulgaris (Eurasian red squirrel). Lineage: Eukaryota; Metazoa; Chordata; Mammalia; Rodentia; Sciuridae. The record is from RNAcentral.